CUGCGAUGACAAUUUGUGCUUGGGCCGGCUUUGGGCUCAGCAGGGCUUGGAUUUGUUUCGGUUCAGAGCAGGAACAGCAACUGUUCCAGAAUCCCACGACUGCGGCGUGCUUGGGAACGCGGUGCUGUGCAGCGGGAAGGGGACGCUGGGCAGGGCAGAGCCCAGGCAGGCGGAGCGGGGGCCGCGAUCGGUCCCCGUGAGGGAGGGCGGGCAGGAAGCGGCGGAGCGGGGCCGCGCUCGGUCCCCGUGAGGGAAGGCGGGCAGGAAGCGGCGGCGGGCAGCCCCAGUCCUUCCGGGGCGCGGGCGGUGCCGGCCCAGGGGCGGCGGAGCCCGGGCGGCGGCGGCCGCAGCGCGGGUGGGUCGGGGCCCCGGGGCGGCCGGGGAAGGGUGGGCCGGGCCGGGCCGGGCCUGGCCGGGUCGGGGUGCGGCCGCCGAGGGCCGUGGGCGGGAUCCGUGAUCCAGCGACAGCCCCACACGUAGGAGUGGGUAAAACCCCCUGGCGUCUGCGGCAGCGGCACCCGAGCCGGGUCUGGCCUCCGGUUCCUGGUGCAAGGGCGUGAACGUGCUUUCCCCCGCAGUGGCGUGCGGUGUCAUGGAGGGGGAUGUGGCCCUGUGCCGUGUGCCCUGGCAUGGCCCUGCUGGAGCGGGGGGAUAUGGAUGACAGGAAAGAUGAGAAAAGCAGGACGCUGUGUGCAACCUCAGAAGAAGGGCUGAAGGCCCGAGGGAAAGAAAAAAGGAAACGAAAGCGCAGCAGAAGCAGAUCCUCAUCUGUUUCAUCCACAUCGUCUUCUAGCAGUACAUCCACUUCUUCCUCCUCAUCACGCUCUUCAUCAAGGUCAUCUUCUUCCAGCAGUAGUAGAGAUUCUCCUAAGUCUAAGUCAAAGAAGAAGAAAAAAGAAAAACACAACAAAAAGAAAAGGAAAAAGGAGAACAAAAUGAAGAAAAAGAAAGAAAAGAAGAAAAGGAAAGAGAAAACAGGCCCUGUCCAGCUUUCCAAGUUCUUCAAAAACAAAAAGAAGAAUGAAAACUACAGCAUGAUAACUGGAAAGAAAAUUAAGAUGAAAAUAAAGAAGACUAAGGAAGAUAUAGAGAGAGACCGGAACCGUGCCCAGCUCCUGGAGUUCCUGAACUCUGCCUUGUAA
This 1142-nucleotide long non-coding RNA is filed under the name Junco hyemalis (dark-eyed junco). RNAcentral's name for it is "lncRNA (ENSJHYG00000009616.1)". The record is from RNAcentral. Lineage: Eukaryota; Metazoa; Chordata; Aves; Passeriformes; Passerellidae.